ACGGAAGGCAGCAGUGGGGAAUUUUGGACAAUGGGGGCAACCCUGAUCCAGCAAUGCCGCGUGAGUGAAGAAGGCCCUCGGGUUGUAAAGCUCUUUUGUCAGGGAAGAAACGGAGUUCUCUAAUAUAGGAUUCUAAUGACGGUACCUGAAGAAUAAGCACCGGCUAACUACGUGCCAGCAGCCGCGGUAAUACGUAGGGUGCAAGCGUUAAUCGGAAUUACUGGGCGUAAAGCGUGCGCAGGCGGUUUUGUAAGUCUGAUGUGAAAUCCCCGGGCUCAACCUGGGAACUGCAUUGGAGACUGCAAGGCUAGAGUGUGUCAGAGGGGGGUAGAAUUCCACGUGUAGCAGUGAAAUGCGUAGAGAUGUGGAGGAAUACCGAUGGCGAAGGCAGCCCCCUGGGAUAACACUGACGCUCAUGCACGAAAGCGUGGGGAGCAAACAGGAUUAGAUACCCUGGUA
This 459-nucleotide ribosomal RNA is filed under the name uncultured Oxalobacteraceae bacterium. RNAcentral describes it as "bacterial SSU rRNA". It matches the Rfam family "Bacterial small subunit ribosomal RNA", at positions 341 to 792 of the family's 1533-position model. The record is from RNAcentral. Lineage: Bacteria; Pseudomonadati; Pseudomonadota; Betaproteobacteria; Burkholderiales; Oxalobacteraceae.